This is a non-coding RNA of Aegilops tauschii subsp. strangulata, 1807 nucleotides long. The record is from RefSeq and is a predicted model, not a curated record. Lineage: Eukaryota; Viridiplantae; Streptophyta; Magnoliopsida; Poales; Poaceae.
CUUGCAUGUUGUCACCGUCGGAUACGGGAGGCCACUGAUUGUGUUGCUAGGCCAGAUUAGAAGUGAAAUUCUCCUUUGAGGUUUAGGUUGGAUGGUGAACUCCGUAGCUUAUAGAUUGUGGUUGUCCUUUUUGGAUCAGUGUAUUGCUGCAGUUGCGCCAGUAUAUGUUGUUUUCAUGCAACUGGUCUUUGGGUCGGUGAACAAGAGCUAGAGACACAAGGUGAUAACACUGUUUGUGCCAUUUGUUUCUUUCAGUUUUACUCAUGGGACACUGAUGAUUGAUGGAGCAGGACCGCUACCACUCCUUGCCUACGUAAAGCACGUGCCAGAUCUGAGCCAGUGAAGGCACUGGUGCCCGUGCAACGCAUCAUCGUUGUAAUGGUGAAUAGCAUAUGAAGCCUCCUAAUUUGUAGCGGUGCAAGUUGUAGCCUUUUUGAAGUGGAGCAGCUUUGUCUGGUUGGCCUUCAAUUAUUUGUUGGAACUGCUCUGUCAAAUCCUUACCUUUCUUUUGCAGAGGCACUGAAUGGUUUGGCUGGUCCACAAUAGUCUCAGGUAAUCUUGAUUUUACAUGGUGAAUGUUCUCUGUUGCAUUAUGAUCAACUUGUGCUUGCCAAAUGGAUCUCGUGAAACAAAUUCCUCCUAAUAAUAAAUUGUAAAAGUCCUAAUGAAGAAAAAUAUGUUCAUGUCCUUCUAAAACGAUGUAUGUACUGGUUGGCUUUGUGAUUCCUCUCAGAUUGUGCUUUUCGUUCUUAUGUAGCAAUGCAUCACUUCUCUAGGUGAAAAAAUGAUGGAAACAAAGGCUCUGUUUAAAUUUGUUGCCCUUUUAUAUCUUCCAGCCUUUAUCAUACAUUCUUCUUAUCCAAUUGUGAGUUUAAGUAGUUACACCUAUCAUUGUAAGCCUGUAGGAAGCAAAUAUUUUCAUGUGAAUUUUAUUUCUCUGUGAUGGUUUUACCAGAAAGAAAUCAUAGCCACUAUUACAUCAUUGUUAUUUAUCUUACUGUGCCGUUGUAUCUGUAUACUCUAUUUACGUCUUUUUGACAUUCCCAGUUUUGUUUUUUCUAUGGUAUAUAUUUGACUCCUUUCCAUGCCAUUUGGCUUUGAAUCUGUCCUCAUGGUCAUGUCUGCAGGUAUAUAGUGCACUCGAAGCUAUAUAUAUUGUUAUCUACAGACCGUGUAUCAUAAAUUUCUGUUUUACCUUAUGCUUCUCCUGGUGGUUUUCUUCCUGGGUGAUUGUGUGCUCAUAUGCCAUUGGUCAAUAUCCAUGUUUAUAGAGGAUGCCCACUUUUCUUAGUUACAUACCGAUUCUUAAUAGUCGUGCAAUGCCUGCUCGGGUUAGUUCUUUGAAUGAAUACAUAUAAUAAAUGUAUGGGGGUUCCAAUAUCAAGUGUACCACCUGGUUAUUGCUUACCCAACUAAUACGUGCUGCUUGGUGAUAAAGGAGAAACAGCUAGAAAAAUAAUUAAUAAAGUGUACCACGUGCUUAUUGUUUUAUACACAGUCGCUUGAUUCUUUUUGUUCCUCUAUAGGCCUCUGAUCCUGUUUGCAGUGUGCGGCUAGGUUGUUCGUCCACCUAGGUCGUAGGUUCUUUCCUUCCUGCCAACGGUAGGUACAAGACUCAAGCAAUGGUUAACGGGCAAGCACUAUAUACACCAUCCAUCUAUGCUAAUAUAGCCUGUCUUUUAAAAGCCAAUGUAUUCUAUUACCAAGUGAUCUGAAUAUUUUCUUUUAAGCAUCAAACUUUCAUGUAAUGGAAUAUAAGUAUCUUUAAGUUGAUUCUAAAUCAAUCUCAUGCACAUGCUUUGAAUGC